GACGAACGCUGGCGGCGUGCUUAACACAUGCAAGUCGAACGGUGAAGCGCCUUCCUUUUUGGUGGGUGUGGAUGAGUGGCGAACGGGUGAGUAACACGUGAGUAACCUGCCCCCUUCUUCUGGAUAACCGCAUGAAAGUGUGGCUAAUACGGGAUAUUCUGGGUCUGUCGCAUGAUGGGUCUGGGAAAGAUAUUGUUUCGGUGGGGGAUGGGCUCGCGGCCUAUCAGCUUGUUGGUGGGGUGAUGGCCUACCAAGGCGGUGACGGGUAGCCGGCCUGAGAGGGUGGACGGCCACACUGGGACGGAGACACGGCCCAGACUCGUAAGGGAGGCAGCAGUGGGGAAUAUUGCACAAUGGGCGCAAGCCUGAUGCAGCGACGCCGCGUGAGGGAUGGAGGCCUUCGGGUUGUGAACCUCUUUCGCCAGUGAAGCAGGCCUGCCUCGUUUGUGGGUGGGUUGACGGUAGCUGGAGAAGAAGCGCCGGCUAACUACGUG
RNAcentral lists this ribosomal RNA (494 nucleotides) under uncultured bacterium. RNAcentral describes it as "partial 16S ribosomal RNA". It matches the Rfam family "Bacterial small subunit ribosomal RNA", at positions 28 to 507 of the family's 1533-position model. The record is from RNAcentral.